Molecule: non-coding RNA, 1111 nt
Organism: Cinara cedri
Lineage: Eukaryota; Metazoa; Arthropoda; Insecta; Hemiptera; Aphididae
Source: the annotation of a GenBank genome assembly
CUCAGCUCUACACUCUCUCUCCGCUAUCUUUUUCUGAAGAAACCUAUGACUGGUAUAAGGGAGAUUAUAUUAAUAUUUUAUCUUUCCUUGGUUCAAUAAACUGGAACGAAUUUUUCAAUAUUACUAAUGAUAUUACAACCAUCACCAAAGAAUUUUAUUCCCUCCUAUUAUAUGCAAUAGACACUUUUAUUUCUAAAAAAAGAUACUGCAAAUCUAAAUUCCCCUGUUGGUUCUCUAAAGACUUAAUAAAUCUAAUCAAAUUAAAAAAAUUCCAACAUUCAAUAUUUAAGUUAUCUAACUCACAUGAUGAUUACCAACAAUUCUCUUCCACACGUGCUCAAUGCAAAUCCUUAAGUAGAUUUGAUUACUCCCAAUACUUAAUUAAUAUUCAAAAAUCUUUUAGAACCCAGCCUAAGAAAUUUUGGUCUUUUAUUGAAAAUAUUAAAAAAUCAUCUGGUCUUCCUAACACAAUGUCAUUCAACCAUAAAUCAGCUGAUAAUGGUCAAGAAAUUGUUAACUUAUUUAGUCAAUACUUCUCUUCGGUUUAUAAAGUGACAGCUCCUACUAAUAUUAAUUUUCAAUCUAAUAUAGUUCAAUCAAUUGAUUCGUUAAACUCACUUCACGUCGAACUCCUAGAAGUUUUCAAUGAAUUAAAUAUUCUAUCUUACAAAAAUGCAAUUGGUCCUGAUAGUCUCUCUCCUAUAUUUUUAUUUAACUGCAGAUUUAUACUUUCUCCACCUAUCACAUAUCUCUUUAAUUUUUGUUUAAAUAGUGGCUCAUUUCCAUCAUCUUGGAAAUCCACCUAUAUUAAUCCAAUUCUUAAAAAAGGUAAUAAAUCAUUUAUCUCAAACUACCGUCCUAUAUCGAUAAUUUCUAUUCUCCCUAAAAUAUUUUCUAAAAUAAUAAAUAAUAAGCUCACACCCAUAUUUAAACAUAUUUUAGCACCACAACAACAUGGAUUUCGCAAUAAAAAGUCAUGUCUUACCAAUUUAAUAACUAUUAAACAUCAUAUAAUUAAAUCUUUUUCUAAUAAUCAACAAACAGAUGUUGUUUAUACAGAUUUUGAAAAAGCCUUUGAUAGAGUAAACCACUCUUUAUUAAUCAGUAAACU